This 1191-nucleotide ribosomal RNA is filed under the name Triticum aestivum (bread wheat). RNAcentral describes it as "partial small subunit ribosomal RNA". The record is from RNAcentral. Lineage: Eukaryota; Viridiplantae; Streptophyta; Magnoliopsida; Poales; Poaceae.
AUGGAACCCUAUGUUGGCAUGAGAUUUGACAGCCUUCAAAUUGCUAAGGAUCACUACAACAGCUACGCACUACAGAUGGGUUUCUCUAUCAAGAUGAACACCUCUAGAUGGACACCCCGCACCAAUGAAUUGAUAAAACAACAGUUUUGCUGCAACAAGUUCAAGAAGCCCAAAGCUGAUGAUGGAGGAGCUGAGGCUCCUCCUGUCCUGGACCCUAUUCCAGAUCCAAAAUCUGUUGACAGUGAUGAGGAGAUGGAAGAAGAACCUCCAAUAUUUGCUGAAGAGGAGGAUGAUACUAGUAAGAAGAAGAAGAAGCGCAAACGCGAGACAAUAAAGCAGACUCAAUGCAAGGCGAAAAUGUUGGUGAAGCUGAUAGAUGGGCGAUGGGAAGUGACGCACUUUGUUCGUGACCACAAUCAUCCGCUCGUGAACAAACCUUCAUUCUCCAAAUACUUGAGAUCCCACCAAGGCAUCUCACCUGAUGAAAAGGAGUUUCUUUGCAUCUCGUAUAACUGCAACUUGACUACAGGACGUAUGAUGCAUGUAAUGGCAGAGUUCUAUGGAUCUGAGAUGAUGGUGCCGUUUGGACCAAAGGCAAUAACAAAUCUGUGUACAAGUUUCCGUAGAGAUGACACAAAGGAGGGUGAUCUGAUUGAGACAAUUGCGCACUUCAAGGAUAUACAAAAAACCGAUCCAGACUUCUUCUAUAAGGUGAAAUAUGAUGAAGAGGACAGAGUUGUCAACAUAUUUUGGGUGGAUGGCUUAGCUCGAAAAGCUUAUGCAGAGGCGUACCACGAUUGCAUAUCCUUUGACACCACCUACAUGACCAACAUGUACAAUAUGCCGUUCGCGCCCUUCAUAGGAAUAAAUCGACAUGGCCAAUCUUUCAUGCUGGGUUGCGCGUUUGUGAGGCAGGAGUUGGCAUCGAGCUUUGAUUGGGUCUUUGGAGCAUUCCUAGAGGCUAUGGAUGGCAAACCUCCUGACAACUUCAUCACCGAUCAGGAUGGUGUAAUGAGGCAAUCAAUACAGAGCAUCUUUCCAACCACCGUGCACCGCUGUUGUCGAUGGCACAUCAUGAAAAAGGCUCAGGAAAAACUUGGUUGGCUGCUGUGCCGGAAUCCAGGACUCUCUGAUGAUUUCAACAAGUGUGUUGACUUCAGCUUCACUAUAGACGAGUUUGAGCAGAAUUGA